UACGAAGGGGGCUAGCGUUGCUCGGAAUCACUGGGCGUAAAGCGCACGUAGGCGGAUUGUUAAGUCAGGGGUGAAAUCCUGGAGCUCAACUCCAGAACUGCCUUUGAUACUGGCGAUCUCGAGUCCGGGAGAGGUGAGUGGAACUGCGAGUGUAGAGGUGAAAUUCGUAGAUAUUCGCAAGAACACCAGUGGCGAAGGCGGCUUACUGGCCCGGUACUGACGCUGAGGUGCGAAAGCGUGGGGAGCAAACAGG
Molecule: ribosomal RNA, 253 nt
Filed under: uncultured bacterium
Lineage: Bacteria
Description: partial 16S ribosomal RNA
Rfam family: Bacterial small subunit ribosomal RNA
Source: RNAcentral